This is a non-coding RNA of Mycena latifolia, 97 nucleotides long. NCBI's taxonomy places the organism in Eukaryota, Fungi, Basidiomycota, Agaricomycetes, Agaricales, Mycenaceae. The record is from the annotation of a GenBank genome assembly.
GGCUUGGUGGCAUAAUGGUAACGCACUCCAUGUACCUAUAUGCAGUGUUUGUAUAUCGUUCGACGGAAAGUCCGGAGUUCAAUUCUCUGUCAAGCCA